RNAcentral lists this ribosomal RNA (2841 nucleotides) under Acinetobacter baumannii. RNAcentral describes it as "23S ribosomal RNA". It matches the Rfam family "Bacterial large subunit ribosomal RNA". Lineage: Bacteria; Pseudomonadati; Pseudomonadota; Gammaproteobacteria; Moraxellales; Moraxellaceae. The record is from RNAcentral.
AGUCAAGUAAUUAAGUGCAUGUGGUGGAUGCCUUGGCAGUCAGAGGCGAUGAAAGACGUGAUAGCCUGCGAAAAGCUCCGGGGAGGCGGCAAAUAUCCUUUGAUCCGGAGAUGUCUGAAUGGGGGAACCCACCUACUUUAAGGUAGGUAUUGCAACAUGAAUACAUAGUGUUGCAAGGCGAACGAGGGGAAGUGAAACAUCUCAGUACCCUUAGGAAAAGAAAUCAAUUGAGAUUCCCUCAGUAGCGGCGAGCGAACGGGGAUCAGCCCAUUAAGUUAUGUGUGUUUUAGUGGAACGCUCUGGGAAGUGCGAACGUAGAGGGUGAUAUUCCCGUACACGAAAGGGCACACAUAAUGAUGACGAGUAGGGCGAGGCACGUGAAACCUUGUCUGAAUAUGGGGGGACCAUCCUCCAAGGCUAAAUACUCCUGACUGACCGAUAGUGAACCAGUACCGUGAGGGAAAGGCGAAAAGAACCCCUGUGAGGGGAGUGAAAUAGAUCCUGAAACCGCAUGCAUACAAGCAGUGGGAGCACCUUCGUGGUGUGACUGCGUACCUUUUGUAUAAUGGGUCAGCGACUUAUAUUCAGUAGCAAGGUUAACCGUAUAGGGGAGCCGUAGAGAAAUCGAGUCUUAAUAGGGCGUUUAGUUGCUGGGUAUAGACCCGAAACCAGGCGAUCUAUCCAUGAGCAGGUUGAAGGUUGGGUAACACUAACUGGAGGACCGAACCCACUGUCGUUGAAAAGCCAGGGGAUGACUUGUGGAUAGGGGUGAAAGGCUAAUCAAGCCUGGUGAUAGCUGGUUCUCCCCGAAAGCUAUUUAGGUAGCGCCUCGGACGAAUACCAUAGGGGGUAGAGCACUGUUUCGGCUAGGGGGUCAUCCCGACUUACCAAACCGAUGCAAACUCCGAAUACCUAUGAGUACUAUCCGGGAGACAGACUGCGGGUGCUAACGUCCGUAGUCAAGAGGAAAACAAUCCAGACCGCCAGCUAAGGCCCCAAAAUCAUAGUUAAGUGGGAAACGAUGUGGGAAGGCAUAGACAGCUAGGAGGUUGGCUUAGAAGCAGCCACCCUUUAAAGAAAGCGUAAUAGCUCACUAGUCGAGUCGGCCUGCGCGGAAGAUGUAACGGGGCUAAAACUAUGUGCCGAAGCUGCGGAUNNNNNNNNNAUGCUGGAGGUAUCAGAAGUGCGAAUGCUGACGUGAGUAACGACAAAACGGGUGAAAAACCCGUUCGCCGAAAGACCAAGGGUUCCAGUCCAACGUUAAUCGGGGCUGGGUGAGUCGACCCCUAAGGCGAGGCCGAAAGGCGUAGUCGAUGGGAAAAUGGUUAAUAUUCCAUUACUUCUGUGUAAUGCGAUGAGAGGACGGAGAAGGCUAAAUCAGCCUGGCGUUGGUUGUCCAGGUGAAAGGAUGUAGGCAUGUAUCUUAGGCAAAUCCGGGGUACUCUAUGCUGAGAUCUGAUAGCAAGCUGUACUUGUACAGCGAAGUGGUUGAUGCCAUGCUUCCAGGAAAAGUCUCUAAGCUUCAGUUACACAGGAAUCGUACCCGAAACCGACACAGGUGGUCAGGUCGAGUAGACCAAGGCGCUUGAGAGAACUCUGCUGAAGGAACUAGGCAAAAUGGUACCGUAACUUCGGGAGAAGGUACGCUGUUGUUGGUGAUGGAACUCGCUUCCUGAGCUGACGACAGCCGCAGAAACCAGGCCGCUGCAACUGUUUAUUAAAAACAUAGCACUCUGCAAACACGAAAGUGGACGUAUAGGGUGUGAUGCCUGCCCGGUGCUGGAAGGUUAAUUGAUGGGGUUAGCGUAAGCGAAGCUCUUGAUCGAAGCCCCAGUAAACGGCGGCCGUAACUAUAACGGUCCUAAGGUAGCGAAAUUCCUUGUCGGGUAAGUUCCGACCUGCACGAAUGGCAUAAUGAUGGCGGCGCUGUCUCCAGCAGAGGCUCAGUGAAAUCGAAAUCGCUGUGAAGAUGCAGUGUACCCGCGGCUAGACGGAAAGACCCCGUGAACCUUUACUGCAGCUUGACACUGAACUUUGACCUUACUUGUGUAGGAUAGGUGGGAGGCUUUGAAGCUGGAACGCUAGUUCCAGUGGAGCCGUCCUUGAAAUACCACCCUGGUAAUGUUGAGGUUCUAACUCUGUCCCGUGAUCCGGGACGAGGACCGUGUCUGGUGGGUAGUUUGACUGGGGCGGUCUCCUCCUAAAGAGUAACGGAGGAGUACGAAGGUGCGCUCAGCGUGGUCGGAAAUCACGCGUAGAGUAUAAAGGCAAAAGCGCGCUUAACUGCGAGACCCACAAGUCGAGCAGGUACGAAAGUAGGUCUUAGUGAUCCGGUGGUUCUGUAUGGAAGGGCCAUCGCUCAACGGAUAAAAGGUACUCUGGGGAUAACAGGCUGAUACCGCCCAAGAGUUCAUAUCGACGGCGGUGUUUGGCACCUCGAUGUCGGCUCAUCUCAUCCUGGGGCUGAAGCAGGUCCCAAGGGUAUGGCUGUUCGCCAUUUAAAGAGGUACGCGAGCUGGGUUUAGAACGUCGUGAGACAGUUCGGUCCCUAUCUACCGUGGGCGCUGGAAAUUUGAGAGGAUCUGCUCCUAGUACGAGAGGACCAGAGUGGACGAACCUCUGGUGUACCGGUUGUGACGCCAGUCGCAUCGCCGGGUAGCUAUGUUCGGAAGGGAUAACCGCUGAAAGCAUCUAAGCGGGAAGCCUACCUCAAGAUAAGAUUUCCCUAGGACUUUAUGUCCUCUAAAGAGCCGUUCGAGACUAGGACGUUGAUAGGUUGGAUGUGGAAGCAUAGUGAUAUGUGAAGCUGACCAAUACUAAUUGCUCGUGAGGCUUGACUAU